This 28-nucleotide non-coding RNA is filed under the name Homo sapiens (human). Lineage: Eukaryota; Metazoa; Chordata; Mammalia; Primates; Hominidae. The record is from RNAcentral.
UCCCCAACAACAAUGUGAGAAGGCUCAU